Athene cunicularia (burrowing owl) is the source of this 467-nucleotide long non-coding RNA. RefSeq lists it as uncharacterized. The record is from RefSeq and is a predicted model, not a curated record. NCBI's taxonomy places the organism in Eukaryota, Metazoa, Chordata, Aves, Strigiformes, Strigidae. The transcript is spliced from 2 exons.
CACAUGGAUGUUCCUGUCUAGGCUAGAAGAAAGAAUUGACAUAAAAUAGAUGCUGAAACAUGGAGGGAGUACAACCGUAUUUAUGGUUUUCUCUGCCCACCUGGGAAAAGUAACCUUGCAUGAAAACACAUGUAUGUGUGUGAGGUUACUUUUUUAAACAAUCCCUCAUAUUUGAUUGAAAUGGAAUAUGCCACCAUGUAUAUUUAAGAUUAAAGCUUUAUUUUUAAAGGCCUGUAAUCCUUUCAAGGAGAUUUUGUUGAUAUAAGACUUCAUUGGAAAGUAAUUGUGGAUUGUACAGCUCUGACCUUUGCAGGAAGCAGGGUGCAGGUCUGCACAGCCGAGAAACACUGCAUCAAUUUCUUGUGAAGCCCCUGCAGACCAGCUAACUCUAAGGAGGCUGUGAUGCAUGCGAAGGGAAGUGACUGACUUAACUCAUUGGGAUUCAGGGAACGACCUGCCCUCUUUUG